AUGGGCGCAAGCCUGAUCCAGCCAUGCCGCGUGAGUGAUGAAGGCCUUAGGGUCGUAAAGCUCUUUCGCCAGAGAUGAUAAUGACAGUAUCUGGUAAAGAAACCCCGGCUAACUCCGUGCCAGCAGCCGCGGUAAUACGGAGGGGGUUAGCGUUGUUCGGAAUUACUGGGCGUAAAGCGUACGUAGGCGGAUUAGUCAGUCAGAGGUGAAAUCCCAGGGCUCAACCCUGGAACUGCCUUUGAUACUGCUAGUCUUGAGUUCGAGAGAGGUGAGUGGAAUUCCAAGUGUAGAGGUGAAAUUCGUAGAUAUUUGGAGGAACACCAGUGGCGAAGGCGGCUCACUGGCUCGAUACUGACGCUGAGGUACGAAAGUGUGGGGAGCAAACAGGAUUAGAUACCCUGGUAGUCCACACCGUAAACGAUGAAUGCCAGUCGUCGGGCAGUAUACUGUUCGGUGACACACCUAACGGAUUAAGCAUUCCGCCUGGGGAGUACGGUCGCAAGAUUAAAACUCA
RNAcentral lists this ribosomal RNA (514 nucleotides) under Roseovarius sp. MED149. Its description in RNAcentral is "bacterial SSU rRNA". It matches the Rfam family "Bacterial small subunit ribosomal RNA", at positions 371 to 903 of the family's 1533-position model. Lineage: Bacteria; Pseudomonadati; Pseudomonadota; Alphaproteobacteria; Rhodobacterales; Roseobacteraceae. The record is from RNAcentral.